This is a non-coding RNA of Misgurnus anguillicaudatus (oriental weatherfish), 1336 nucleotides long. The record is from RefSeq and is a predicted model, not a curated record. Lineage: Eukaryota; Metazoa; Chordata; Actinopteri; Cypriniformes; Cobitidae.
GUAAAAAAUUUCCGGGAUUUCACAAGAUGUAACUGUGAUAUUUCACAGUAAAUUACAUUAUUAGCAUGUCACAGGCUUUAGCUGUGACAUUUCACAAUAUAGUACAGUAUUCAGACUUUUAUUGUGAAAAUAAUGCCAUCGGCGAAAUCACAGGGAACGGCUGUAAGUUCCGACGCGCGCUAUCUGUUUGGGUUCUCUCAUCUCUGCGGUCUCAUCCAACGGAUUCAGUGGUAAGUGUUAAAAUGUCAAAUUUUGUCAAAUAAAUGAUUGAUUUAUUUUCAAAAUAUAUGUCAUAGUGCAUGGAGUAUUAUCCAAAUGUGGUUAUUUGUAGGUUUCGCGUGGGUUGAACCGCUGAAUUUAAAAAUAAAGCAAUGAACAGAUGUUGGUAGUGUUACUGUGAGACCUUUUAGGAGCUUUAUUAAAAAUAAAACAUUAUUUGUUAACUUGAGCUUUUCUUAGUGCUAAGCUAACAGCUUUCUCUCUUUUUCUUCCUACACAGCAUCUUUCUGCGGUAUCCACUGUGGAGUAAAGUUAUGAGGUAUUUUUUCCACACUUCACAAGGAUGGGGACAUCACUCAGAAGAGUAAAGUUUCGAGAAGCCCUGGAUAACAACCACAAUAACAUUCUGAAGUUCGUCCAAGGAGUCAACUAUCAUCAACGGGGUGCUUCUUGGGCAUUAAUUCGGAGACAGACAGGCAGAAAGGACAGAAACAACAAGCUGCAAGUCUGUACACUGAUUAGAAAACUUAUGACUUGAAUGGAUGUCAGUCUAGUGUGUCACAAAUACUAGUUCUUUGUUUAGCUAGAGGCGAUUGUACACUUUGUACUCUUACAAUGUUCUAUAUCAGGAGUCUCCAACGUGGUGCCCAUGGGCAGCAGGUAGCCCGCACAGAGUCUGUGAGGUGCCCACCAAAUCACAUUCUAUUAAUAGUCUCAAUUGUAAUAUUUGUUGAUUACAUAUUUUUUAUAUUGACUUGGCUUGGUUUACAUAUGUUACAAUUUUAAACAAUACAAAAACAUAUCAAAAAGUACAAUGAAAUAAAAUCAACAAGUAAAACAAAAAAAGUUUUGAGUAGACUAUAUCAAAAGGUAGCCCUCCAGAAUGUUUUAUCCAUUGUGGUAGCCCUUGCUCACAAAAAGGUUGGAGACCCCUGUUCUAUAUUGUGUCUGUUAAAUAAAGAAACAUGAAGAAAUUAGUGAAUGUCAGUCUACAUUGUAAAAAUAAAAUAUUUGUUGCACUUAUUUUUUAAGUUUAAUUAACUCUAAAUUACAAUUUAUUUCAACUUUCUUGACUAGUGAAAAGUUGCUAUUAAUUAUAAAAAAUAAAGUUGAAAUA